RNAcentral lists this ribosomal RNA (449 nucleotides) under uncultured bacterium. RNAcentral's name for it is "partial 16S ribosomal RNA". It matches the Rfam family "Bacterial small subunit ribosomal RNA", at positions 29 to 523 of the family's 1533-position model. The record is from RNAcentral.
AACGAACGCUGGCGGCAGGCUUAACACAUGCAAGUCGAACGCAUCCUUCGGGGUGAGUGGCAGACGGGUGAGUAACGCGUGGGAACGUGCCCUUCAGUUCGGGAUAACCCAGGGCAACUUGGGCUAAUACCGGAUACGUGCGAGAGCAGAAAGAUUUAUCGCUGAAGGAUCGGCCCGCGUCUGAUUAGCUAGUUGGUGGGGUAAUGGCCCACCAAGGCGACGAUCAGUAGCUGGUCUGAGAGGAUGAUCAGCCACAUUGGGACUGAGACACGGCCCAAACUCCUGCGGGAGGCAGCAGUGGGGAAUAUUGGACAAUGGGCGCAAGCCUGAUCCAGCCAUGCCGCGUGAGUGAUGAAGGCCUUAGGGUUGUAAAGUUCUUUCGUCCGGGACGAUAAUGACGGUACCGGAAGAAGAAGCCCCGGCUAACUUCGUGCCAGCAGCCGCCGUAA